Molecule: ribosomal RNA, 497 nt
Filed under: uncultured bacterium
Lineage: Bacteria
Description: partial 16S ribosomal RNA
Rfam family: Bacterial small subunit ribosomal RNA
Source: RNAcentral
AUUGAACGCUGGCGGCAUGCUUUACACAUGCAAGUCGAACGGUAACAGGCCGCAAGGUGCUGACGAGUGGCGAACGGGUGAGUAAUGCGUCGGAACGUGCCCAGUCGUGGGGGAUAACGCAGCGAAAGCUGUGCUAAUACCGCAUACGAUCUAUGGAUGAAAGCGGGGGACCGUAAGGCCUCGCGCGAUUGGAGCGGCCGAUGUCCGAUUAGCUAGUUGGUGGGGUAAAGGCCCACCAAGUCGACGAUCUGUAGAUGGUCUGAGAGGACGACCAGCCACACUGGGACUGAGACACGGCCCAGACUCCUACAGGAGGCAGCAGUGGGGAAUUUUGGACAUGGGCGCAAGCCUGAUCCAGCAAUGCCGCGUGCAGGAAGAAGGCCUUCGGGUUGUAAACUGCUUUUGUACGGAACGAAACGGUCUGGGUUAAUACCCUGGGCUAAUGACGGUACCGUAAGAAUAAGCACCGGCUAACUACGUGCCAGCCGCCGCGGUAA